GUAUUAAUGAAGAGUCUCAAGCAAUAGGACGAAACAGCUGUCCAGUAU
RNAcentral lists this non-coding RNA (48 nucleotides) under Trichobilharzia regenti. The record is from RNAcentral. Lineage: Eukaryota; Metazoa; Platyhelminthes; Trematoda; Strigeidida; Schistosomatidae.